This 91-nucleotide microRNA precursor is filed under the name Mustela putorius furo (domestic ferret). RNAcentral's name for it is "miRNA (ENSMPUG00000021056.1)". Lineage: Eukaryota; Metazoa; Chordata; Mammalia; Carnivora; Mustelidae. The record is from RNAcentral.
AUUUGUCUUAAAGAUGUGUGUGUGUAUAUUUCAGUCUCUCAUAUGUGUAUACACACACACACACACACACACACACACACAUAUACAAACA